UUUUUUUUUUUUUUUUUUUUUUUUUUUUUUUAAUUUUAUUUUCCCACUGUACAGCAAGGGGGUCAGGUUAUCCUUACAUGUAUACAUUACAAUUACAGUUUUUCCCCCACCAUUUCUUCUGUUGCAACAUGAGUAUCUAGACAUAGGUCUCAAUGCUAUUCAGCGGGAUCUCCUUGUAAAUCUAUUCUAAGUUGUGUCUGAUAAGCCCAAGCUCCCGAUCCCUCCCACUCCCUCCCCCUCCCAUCAGGCAACCACAAGUCUCUUCUCCAAGUCCAUGAUUGAUUUUCUUUUCUGAGGAGAUGUUCAUUUGUGCUGGAUAUUAGAUUCCAGUUAUAAGUGAUGUCAUAUGGUAUUUGUCUUUGUCUUUCUGGCUCAUUUCACUCAGUAUGAGAUUCUCUAGUUCCAUCCAUGUUGCUGCAAAUGGCAUGAUGUCAUCCUUUUUUAUGGCUGAGUAGUAUUCCAUCGUGUAUAUAUACAACAUCUUCCGAAUCCAAUCCUCUGUCGAUGGACAUUUGGAUUGUUUCCAUGUCCUGGCUAUUGUGAAUAGUGCUGCAAUGAACAUGCGGGUGCAUGUGUCUCUUUUAAGUAGAGCUUUGUCCGGAUAGAUGCCCAAGAGUGGGAUUGCAGGGGUCAUAUGGAAGUUCUAUGGAUAGAUUUCUAAGGUAUCUCCAAACUGUUCUCCAUAGUGGCUGUACCAGCUGACAUUCCCACCAGCAGUGCAGGAGGGUUCCCUUUUCUCCACAGCCCCUCCAGCACUUGUUAUUUGUGGAUUUAUUAAUGAUGGCCAUUCUGACUGGUGUGAGGUGGUAUCUCAUGGUAGUUUUGAUUUGCAUUUCUCUUAUAAUCAGCGAUGUUGAGCAUUUUUUCAUGUGUUUGUUGGCCAUCUGUAUAUCUUCUUUGGAGAAAUGUCUAUUCAGGUCUUUUGCCCAUUUUUCCAUUGAUUGAUUGGUUUUUUUGCUGUUGAGUUGUAUAAGUUGCUUAUAUAUUCUAGAGAUUAAGCCCUUGUCAGUUGCAUCAUUUGAAACUAUUUUCUCCCAUUCUGUAAGUUGUCUUUUUGUUUUCUUUUGGGUUUCCUUUGCUGUGCAAAAGCUUUUCAGUUUGAUGAGGUCCCAUGGGUUUAUUUUUGCUCUAAUUUCUAUUGCUUUGGGAGACUGACCUGAGAAAAUAUUCAUGAUGUUGAUGUCAGAGAGUGUUUUGCCUAUGUUUUCUUCUAGGAGUUUGAUGGUGUCCUGUCGUAUAUUUAAGUCUUUCAGCCAUUUGGAGUUUAUUUUUGUGCAUGGUGUGAGGGUGUGUUCUAAUUUCAUUGCUUUGCAUGCAGCUGUCCAGGUUUCCCAGCAAUGCUUGCUGAAUAGACUUUCUUUUUCCC
RNAcentral lists this long non-coding RNA (1366 nucleotides) under Sus scrofa (pig). Its description in RNAcentral is "lncRNA (ENSSSCG00025012121.1)". Lineage: Eukaryota; Metazoa; Chordata; Mammalia; Artiodactyla; Suidae. The record is from RNAcentral.